CGUUGAAACACCGUUUCCUGUACGACCACCGAAAUUAAGCAAUGUCGAGCCUGGUCAGUACCUAGAUGAGUGACCGUUUCAGAAUACCAGGUGCAGU
Molecule: non-coding RNA, 97 nt
Organism: Acanthosepion pharaonis
Lineage: Eukaryota; Metazoa; Mollusca; Cephalopoda; Sepiida; Sepiidae
Source: the annotation of a GenBank genome assembly